GUGAGGAAUAUUGGUCAAUGGGCGGAAGCCUGAACCAGCCAUGCCGCGUGUAGGAAGACGGUCCUCUGGAUUGUAAACUGCUUUUGAAUGGGAAGAACACUACCCUUGCGAGGGUAUUUGACGGUACUAUUAGAAUAAGCACCGGCUAACUACGUGCCAGCAGCCGCGGUAAUACGUAGGGUGCGAGCGUUAAUCGGAAUUACUGGGCGUAAAGCGUGCGCAGGCGGCUAUGCAAGACAGAUGUGAAAUCCCCGGGCUCAACCUGGGAACUGCAUUUGGGACUGCAUGGCUAGAGUGCGUCAGAGGGAGGUGGGAUUCCGCGUGUAGCAGUGAAAUGCGUAGAGAUGCGGAGGAACACCGAUGGCGAAGGCAGCCUCCUGGGAUGACACUGACGCUCAUGCACGAAAGCGUGGGGAGCAAACAGGAUUAGAUACCCCGGUAGUCC
This 445-nucleotide ribosomal RNA is filed under the name uncultured bacterium. RNAcentral's name for it is "partial 16S ribosomal RNA". It matches the Rfam family "Bacterial small subunit ribosomal RNA", at positions 354 to 796 of the family's 1533-position model. The record is from RNAcentral.